ACCAAGUGUGGUGGCAUGCACCUGUAGUCCCAGCUGCUUAGGAGGCUGAGGCCAGAGGGUCACUUGAGCCCAGGAGUUCUGAAUUCUAGUGUGCUAUGCUGAUCAGGUGUCUGCACAAAACUUUGGCAUCAAUAUGGUGACCUCCAGCAGCAGGGAACCACCAGGUUGCUUAAGGAGUGGUGAACCGGCCCAGGUCAGAAAUGGAGUAGGUCAAAACUCCCGUGCUGAUCAGUAGUGGGAUUGCACCAUUACAGUGCAGUGUGAAUAGCCACUGCACUCCAGCCAGGACAACAUAGCAAGACUCCAUCUCUA
Molecule: unclassified non-coding RNA, 312 nt
Organism: Pongo abelii (Sumatran orangutan)
Lineage: Eukaryota; Metazoa; Chordata; Mammalia; Primates; Hominidae
Rfam family: Metazoan signal recognition particle RNA
About the family: The signal recognition particle (SRP) is a universally conserved ribonucleoprotein. It is involved in the co-translational targeting of proteins to membranes. The eukaryotic SRP consists of a 300-nucleotide 7S RNA and six proteins: SRPs 72, 68, 54, 19, 14, and 9.
Source: Ensembl